Molecule: ribosomal RNA, 157 nt
Filed under: uncultured bacterium
Lineage: Bacteria
Description: partial 16S ribosomal RNA
Rfam family: Bacterial small subunit ribosomal RNA
Source: RNAcentral
UGGCAGGUCAGCAUACUGCCGUGAAUACGUUCCCGGGCCUUGUACACACCGCCCGUCACACCAUGAGAGUUGGGAAUACCCGAAGCCUGUGAGCUAACGUAAGAGGCAGCAGUCGAAGGUAGAAUCAAUGAUUGGGGUGAAGUCGUAACAAGGUAGC